GGAAUGCCACUUUUAGGGGCUCAGCUGUUGCCCCAUUCCAGGAAAGGAUGCUCAGGGCCAGGGUGCCCGGCCAGGCGUGGCGAAUGGGUGAGACCUCCCCUGUGCCCUGGGCCAGGGCGCUGAGUGGGCUUGGCCCUCAGUUUGUGCCUGCAGAUGGGAACGCAGCCUGCGUGAAGGUGCUCCGGGACAUCGAGCCCGGGGACGAGGUGACAUGCUUCUACGGCGAGGGCUUCUUCGGUGAGAAGAAUGAGCACUGUGAAUGCCACACCUGUGAGAGGAAAGGUGAAGGAGCUUUCCGAACCAGGCCUAGGGAGCCUGCGUUGCCACCACGGCCCCUGGACAAGUACCAGCUACGUGAGACCAAGCGGCGGCUGCAGCAAGGCCUGGACAGCGGCAGCCGACAGGGCCUGCUGGGCCCUCGGGCCUGCGUGCACCCGUCCCCACUGCGCCGGGACCCAUUCUGCGCCGCCUGCCAGCCCCUGCGCCUGCCAGCCUGCAGCACCCGCCCAGACACCUCUCCCCUCUGGCUCCAGUGGCUGCCUCAGCCCCAGCCCCGAGUGCGGCCCCGGAAGCGCCGACGGCCCCGGCCCCGGAGGGCCCCAGUGCUCUCCACCCACCACGCUGCCCGCGUCUCCCUGCACCGAUGGGGAGGCUGUGGCCCCCACUGCCGCCUGCGAGGAGAGGCCCUGGUGGCCCUGGGCCAGCCUCCCCACGCCCGCUGGGUCC
This 726-nucleotide small RNA is filed under the name Pongo abelii (Sumatran orangutan). Its description in RNAcentral is "retained intron". The record is from RNAcentral. Lineage: Eukaryota; Metazoa; Chordata; Mammalia; Primates; Hominidae.